GCGUGGCAUUAGUUAGUUGGUGAGGUAACGGCUCACCAAGGCAAUGAUGCCUAGGGGUCCUGAGAGGGUUUCCCCCACACUGGUACUGAGACACGGACCAGACUCCUACGGGAGGCAGCAGUAAGGAAUAUUGGGCAAUAGGCGCAAGCCUGACCCAGCCAUGCCGCGUGCAGGAUGACGGCCCUAUGGGUUGUAAACUGCUUUUGUAUGGGAAAAAACUCCCGCACGUGUGCGGGACUGAUUGUACCAUACGAAUAAGCAUCGGCUAACUCCGUGCCAGCAGCCGCGGUAAUACGGAGGAUGCAAGCGUUAUCCGGAUUUAUUGGGUUUAAAGGGUGCGCAGGCGGAUUAGUAAGUCAGUGGUGAAAGCUCCCGGCUCAACCGGGAAAAUGCCAUUGAUACUGUUAAUCUUGAGUACAGUUGAGGUUGGCGGAAUGUAUCAUGUAGCGGUGAAAUGCAUAGAUAUGAUACAGAACACCGAUAGCGAAGGCAGCUUACCAAACUGUAACUGACGCUCAUGCACGAAAGCGUGGGGAGCAAACCAGGAUUAGAUACCCUGGUAGUCCACGCUGUAAACUAUGAUCACUCGCUGUUGGCGAUACACUGUCAGCGGCUUAGCGAAAGUGUUAAGUGAUCCACCUGGGGAGUACGAAUCGCAUGUUGAAACUUCAAGGAAUUGACGGGGGCCCGCCACAAGCGGAGGGAAGCAUGUGGUUUAUUUCGAUGAUACCGCGAAGGAACCUUACCUGGGGCUUAAAUGCAGACGACCUCCCGAGAAAUCGGGACUUCCUUCGGGACGGACUGCAAGGUGCUGCAUGGUGUCGUCAGCUCGUGCCGUUGAGGUGUCGGGUUAAGUCCCAUAACGAGCGCAACCCUUAUCCUUAGUUGCCAACAGGUAAUGCUGGGAACUUCUAAGGAAACUGCCUACGCAAGUAGUGAGGAAGGUGGGGAUGACGUCAAAUCAGCACGGCCCUUAUGUCCAGGGCUACACACGUGCUACAAUGGUCGGUACAGAGGGCAGCUACCUGGCAACAGGAUGCUAAUCUCGAAGCCGUCUCAGUUCGGAUUGGAGUCUGCAACUCGACUCCAUGAAGUUGGAUUCGCUAGUAAUCGCGCAUCAGCCAUG
This 1126-nucleotide ribosomal RNA is filed under the name uncultured organism. RNAcentral's name for it is "bacterial SSU rRNA". It matches the Rfam family "Bacterial small subunit ribosomal RNA", at positions 233 to 1357 of the family's 1533-position model. The record is from RNAcentral.